Molecule: ribosomal RNA, 253 nt
Filed under: uncultured bacterium
Lineage: Bacteria
Description: partial 16S ribosomal RNA
Rfam family: Bacterial small subunit ribosomal RNA
Source: RNAcentral
UACGUAGGGGGCUAGCGUUGUCCGGAAUCAUUGGGCGUAAAGCGCGUGUAGGCGGUCCGGUAAGUCCGCUGUGAAAGCCCGGGGCUCAACCCCGGGUCGGCCGUGCGAACUGUCGAGCUGGAGCACUGUAGAGGCAGGUGGAAUUCCGGGUGUAGCGGUGGAAUGCGUAGAGAUCCGGAAGAACACCGGUGGCGAAGGCGGCCUGCUGGGCAGUGGCUGACGCUGAGGCGCGACAGCGUGGGGAGCAAACAGG